CGAGGACUUUCUGGGGUUUGAGCCGUACGACUUCAGCUCCACGUGUCAGUGAGGAUGUCAGAACUGCACACGAUUGAUCGCCGAUCAAUACUCUAUCAACACCAGCAGAUAUUUAUAAAAACAUUAAAAAAUCAGGCGAAUACCAGUCAGCUUUCACCCUGAAGGUCCUCUUUCAUAUUCUUCCUGCUGUGAUUUUCUCUGUGUUCAAGAGCCAGAAGAGAGUGAAAUGCUGAAACGCUCCCAGCAUCUUCAACUUGAUUUUUCCUUUCAAAAGUGUCAACAAGCUCCCAGCUGCUUCAGGAAGGGAACGUUUUACCAGCUCAGCGGAUGCAGAAAAUCAAGAACGCUAACUGGAAAUUGUCCCCGAGGUGCUGGGGUUAGUGAUGCUUGAUUGCGUGAAAAGAAACACAGCGGCCUAUCAAGACGCUCACUUACAUUUUCUGCUGUGACUGUACACUUAUUAAGAUUUCAUAUUCAUUUGGGAAUUUUACAUGCAUUUCAAAAACAUCUAUCUUAAUUUUUUUUUUUAAAUGUGUAAAUGUCAAAUCCAGGCUCUCAAAUAAUGGCCUUUAUCUUUCUAUCCUGUAACACCACAGUCUCCAGCUCUGGAUUGCUCUAAAGCGGGUUUAAGUUAUCCUGUGGCUGCGGGCGGCAGCUGAGGCCUGAGAUGGAGAAAGGUUUUUUCUAUCACAGCCUCCGGGGGGAAAUGUUGAAGAUGCGGCUGCGCCGUAAGUCUUAGCACACGGAUAAAAGCAGCGCUGGAUGGGGAAGUCAAUAGUGCGGGCUGUUAUUGUGUGUCAGUGCUGAGAGAGAAGCUUCAAUGCGACCGUGACCUAUAUUUACCGCUCGAGUGCGUUUCGCUCUUGUUACGCUGAGAGAGAUUCUGGACGGAGAGACACGGAUGAGAGAGAGAGAGAGAGAGCCGUGAGCAGAGCCAUCUGCUAAACCGCAGGCUUCACCUCAAUGACACACACACACACAUGCAGCAAACACACUUUAUAUCAACCUAGUUAAGGCGAGACGCCACAGGUGAACAGGUUAAAAUGAAUUUAAAGAAAUAUAGUUCACCCAAAAAUAUAAAUUAGGUGCAAAUGUUCUCACCUUAAGACCAUCCAAGAUGCAAAUGAGUUUGUUUCUUUAUCAGAUUUGGCGAAAUGUAGCAUUGCAUCACUUUCUCACCAAUGGAUGUGAAUGGGUGCCGUCAGAAUGAGAGUCCAAACAGCUGAUUAAAAACAUCACAAUAAUCCACACAACUACUCCAGUCCAUCAGUUCACAUCUUGAGAAAACAAAAGCUGCAUGCUUGAGAGAAUUUGUUUGAUUUGGU
Long non-coding RNA from Labeo rohita (rohu), 1325 nucleotides. RefSeq lists it as uncharacterized. The transcript is spliced from 3 exons. The record is from RefSeq and is a predicted model, not a curated record. NCBI's taxonomy places the organism in Eukaryota, Metazoa, Chordata, Actinopteri, Cypriniformes, Cyprinidae.